GCGAACGCUGGCGGCGUACUUAACACAUGCAAGUCGAACGAGGAUCGUCGGGUUAGCAAUAAUUCGGCGGUUCUAGUGGCGCACGGGUGAGUAACACGUGGGUAACCUGCCCCAGAGACCGGGAUACCCUCUCGAAAGGGAGGCUAAUACCGGAUACGUUCCCCGGGUCGCGAGAUCCGAGGAGGAAAGGUAGCAAAAGCUGCCGCUCUUGGAGGGGCUCGCGGCCUAUCAGCUAGUUGGUGAGGUAACGGCUCACCAAGGCGAUGACGGGUAGCUGGUCUGAGAGGACGACCAGUCACACGGGAACUGAGACACGGUCCCGACUCCUACGGGAGGCAGCAGUGGGGAAUUUUCCGCAAUGGGCGAAAGCUUGACGGAGUGACGCCGCGUGGGGGACGAAGGCCUUCGGGUCGUAAACCCCUGUCAGAGGGAAAGAA
RNAcentral lists this ribosomal RNA (437 nucleotides) under uncultured bacterium. RNAcentral describes it as "bacterial SSU rRNA". It matches the Rfam family "Bacterial small subunit ribosomal RNA", at positions 30 to 449 of the family's 1533-position model. The record is from RNAcentral.